Molecule: ribosomal RNA, 467 nt
Filed under: uncultured Pseudomonadota bacterium
Lineage: Bacteria; Pseudomonadati; Pseudomonadota
Description: bacterial SSU rRNA
Rfam family: Bacterial small subunit ribosomal RNA
Source: RNAcentral
AGAGUUUGAUCCUGGCCUCAGAACGAACGCUGGCGGCAGGCCUAACACAUGCAAGUCGAACGCCCCGCAAGGGGAGUGGCAGACGGGUGAGUAACGCGUGGGAACAUGCCUUUCGGUUCGGAAUAGUCCCGGGAAACUGGGGUUAAUACCGGAUACGUCCUUCGGGAGAAAGAUUUAUCGCCGAAAGAUUGGCCCGCGUCUGAUUAGCUAGUUGGCGGUGUAAUGGACCACCAAGGCGACGAUCAGUAGCUGGUCUGAGAGGAUGAUCAGCCACACUGGGACUGAGACACGGCCCAGACUCCUACGGGAGGCAGCAGUGGGGAAUAUUGGACAAUGGGCGCAAGCCUGAUCCAGCCAUGCCGCGUGAGUGAUGAAGGCCCUAGGGUUGUAAAGCUCUUUCGGCGGGGACGAUAAUGACGGUACCCGCAGAAGAAGCCCCGGCUAACUUCGUGCCAGCAGCCGCGGUA